Triticum dicoccoides is the source of this 3058-nucleotide long non-coding RNA. RefSeq lists it as uncharacterized. The record is from RefSeq and is a predicted model, not a curated record. The transcript is spliced from 5 exons. Lineage: Eukaryota; Viridiplantae; Streptophyta; Magnoliopsida; Poales; Poaceae.
CACACGAACUUGCACGACGGGUACAUAUUCAUACAACAACUUGAAAGAUGAUGCAAAUAGGUCACAAAACUUGAGUUUUGGGUACAUUUAGAUACAAUUCCAUCUAUUGCCAUUAACACCCCGUUAACUCUGCCUACAUGGCAUGUAAAAAGGUGGUACUGGGGAUGCACUAUCUUAGCAAACAAUCACCAUGUCAACAAGAUGCAGUAAGCCAAGAUAAUAAGCGGUCUAUCUCCCCAUUGAACAACUGCGGCCAUCCGGUUGUUUGCUUGGCUCGUGUAUGUGAAGUAGCCAGCCUUGCAUAUGCAUUGUACUCCAAUUUCGUUUAAUCUCUCACCUGCUGACAAGUGGGUCGUGCAUAGAUGGUUCAAAGGAUAAAAAAAUCUAUCUCAACGAGUACAAAGUUCGAGUAGUAGUUUCGGAUUUGUUGGCCACGACACACGUAAAUGCGAUAUGGUACGAACCUUCGGGAAGCACUAUCUUCGGGAUGAACUAUCAUGUGCGUAGUGGUUAGCACUGAACGCCUUGAGAGAAAUUGUCUCAGGUUCGAAUUUUGGUCUCCUCCAUUUUUAGAAACAAUUAAUUUCUCCUCGUAGCUCACAGGUGGGACCUACCCCAAUGAACUGACGUAGAGCGUGGGCCCACUGUCAUGUUUGACAUGCCAUGUAGGCAGAGUUAACGGGGCUUUAACAGCAAUAGACGGAAAUGUACCUACAUGUACUCGAAAUUCAAGUUAUGUGACCAGUUUGUAUCAUUUUUCAAGUUGUUGUAUGAAUCCGUACCCGCUGUGCAAGUUCAUGUAUCAUAGGUGUAAUUAACUAAGCAAACCAAUUUCAAAUUCUGCCAGCAUAUAGACAAAUAGCUGCCAUCAGGAUUCCUGAAAUUUACGAGGACAUAUUGAAUUAGUGAGGAUUUCGGAAAUUUGUAGUCCAAGCAACUCAUAUUUUGAAGUUUUGUUGCUUACCUUCCCAUCCCAUUGUGUUGCUAUGCUCCUGAAGUUGCCUAAAUUUUGCUAUAUUGGGUUACCCACAAUAGUAUCGGCAGCGAUGUUUUGUUUUGUGACAACUACUCAAAUUUAUAAUCUAAAUAUAUAAGUUGCACGCCGUGCUGUUGCUGGCAGCUUCUGACGCCAUCUGAAUCUUUUCCGGUGAGCCACCUUGUUCUCUCUUCUCUCUCCAAUUUGUACAAGAUUGAGUACCUCCGCUGCAUCUACACGACCGUCAUCUUCUAACGCGCAUUAGGCUAUCACCAGCAAGAAUCUGAGCCGCCGCCACUGUGCAGAAGCUCCCUGCUGUAGUCAGGAUAAAUUGUGGUGAUUUUGCAUAAUCUGUCCAGGGAGCUUUUCAAGACCAAAUGCUUCCUCAAUCAAGCUGUUUGGCAACAACAAUGCCAAGGUUCAGUUCGGCAAGGAAGCCCAAUAACUUUUCACAAUGACCACUAUGAUAAGUAUUCUGGCUUGGUAAAACAAGAAGAUUCUGACGGUGCGGACAGAUGUUAAUAAGGAGGUUAUCUGGUCCUCUCGACUACCAGCGAGGCCAAAAAGUGUAGAUAUAUGCCUAAGUGUAUGAUAUCAUGGCAUUCACACGCUUCACUCCAUCUAAUACAUCAAACAAAGUGAGCAGUGGCGGAGCUAGACGAAAACCAUUGGGGGGCGAAACGUAAAUGACAAAGAGCUGGGGGGGGGGGGCAAAAGGAUAAUUUUCACCUCAUCCUGGCCCUUCAAAAAAAAAUUCUUCAGGGUUUCCUCCAAAGCUGGGGGGGGCCACGGCCCCCCUCGGCCCCAACAUAGCUCCGCCGUUGUGUAGGAGGAGGGUGAUCAUCACGCCACUGAGGAUAGUGUCGCCGUCGGUGCCGAGGCUGAUUGUCGACCGCCUGGAUCUGGGGGCGCCGCUCAGGCGGCCAGGCGUCCGCACCAUGAUGCUGCCAUCUUCCUACGAGUCAUUGCUAGCUGGAGUUGAUCGGUAACUGGUUGAUUUGGCCAUUAAUCGCUUACCCUGAUCUCUCCAUUUCAUAUAGGUUAGCUUGGCUAGCGUCCGUCUUGAUUAUUUUCGUGAUGCCAUACAUGGUUUUUGGGGUCUUCUCUGCAUAUAUUCGCAAGACAAAUAGGCCUACUAUAGCAUAGUCAAAAUUGGUAGCACUAUCUAGAAAAGUUGUGAUAUUUUUGGUGAAGUUCUCAAGUUGUGCAUUGUGGUAGUGUCCCUGCUUCAUCUAUAACAACAUCUGCACCUCACUGCCAAGUUGCUGGUGAGCCUCAUCCACGCUAAAGAUGAGGGCGUCAAUUGGGCCUUCUCAGUUUGUUCAAAUUGCAAGUUUGACUGAUUCCCCCUCUAAUUUAGGUUGUGAGCCCCUUCGAUUAAUUCCUUGCUAUAACUCUGUAGUGACGGUAUCAGAGUUUCAAGGAUUUUGGGUCCAACUCUGUAUGAAUACUGUUUCUUUGCCGCAAUUUGGUCGAUCCAAUCUAAAAAACGAGACCAGAGAGGCAAGCACCCCUCGGCAUAUUUUUAUAGGACAUACCUAGAUCUUUAUAUUAUAAUCAGAUGGACACACUGUUUGAAGUAGUCUUGCAGUAGAUAGUGUUAAGAUGUGCUAUAUGGGAUGAUAUGAACCAAAUAGCAAAAGCAUUGUUGUUGCCUAUGCUACUAAAACAAUAUGGAUACAACAUUAGCUAAAAGGCUAUUUUUAUAUUUAUUCAUCUUCAACAUUUUUCUUUAACUUUUUAUUUGCUUCCUCAUUGCGUUCUUGAUUUUCAGGUAACAUAAUUGAUAUGUUUUAGCAUUCAAGGUGUAUGUUCACACAAAACUGUUUUUACAUGUCACAAUGUUUGUGAAUGGAGCAGCAACACAUUUUUUUACAUUUUAUGGGCAUAUGCCAAGAUCUCUUAUGCUCCUAAAAAGGAUCUGAUCUUGAUAUACAUGUCCUUGGCACUUUCAGAAGUAUGUAGACCAUCUCCCGGUACAUGUAGAAAUACCAAUUUCAGAAAUAUGUAAAGGGACCAUCUCUUGGUCCAUGUAAAUAGCACUUUCAGAUAUUGUAAAUGUGCAAAUAUACUUUAAAACAC